AAAGGAUUAUUUUGAUAGAAUAAAUUAUGUAAUUUAUUUACUCUCAUUA
Molecule: transfer RNA, 49 nt
Filed under: Hyalessa maculaticollis
Lineage: Eukaryota; Metazoa; Arthropoda; Insecta; Hemiptera; Cicadidae
Description: partial tRNA-Ile
Source: RNAcentral